GCCAUUUUGAUUUUGGGCUUUUUUUUCAAUGAAAAUUCUAAAAAAUUUCCUAAAUAUCAAUGCUUAUUUUCCCUUAAUCCUGACAGUAAAUGAUGCAGACAAUUAUCACAUCUAAAAGCUGUUACCUUUGCCUUUCUAAAAAUAUAUCACACAUUUGGCUGACAAUUGUGUACAUAUGCUUAUUUUCUAUUGGAGAAGGGGUUGAUUCUGACAUCUAAAUGAAAACCAAAUUUCACCAAAAUUCAUUGAAGCUUUGACAAAAUUUCCGAGAUAGUUUAUAGAAAAUAUUGCCAAAAUCAUAAAGAUAACCCCCC
RNAcentral lists this long non-coding RNA (314 nucleotides) under Mytilus galloprovincialis (Mediterranean mussel). Lineage: Eukaryota; Metazoa; Mollusca; Bivalvia; Mytilida; Mytilidae. The record is from RNAcentral.